GGGGGGGGGGGGGGGGGGGCGGGGGGCGGGCGGGGCGGGCGGGCCCUGCGGGGUGAGCGGCGGACGGGUGCGUAGCGCGUGGGAACGUGCCCUUUGCUUCGGCAUAGCCCUGGGCAACUGGGAGUAAUACCGGAUACGCCCUUUUGGGGACAGAUUUAUCGGCGAAGGAUCGGCCCGCGUUGGAUUAGGUAGUUGGUGGGGGAAUGGCCUACCAAGCCGACGAUCCAUAGCUGGUUUGAGAGGAUGAUCAGCCACACUGGGACCGAGACACGGCCCAGACUCCUACGGGAAGCAGCAGUGGGGAAUCUUAGACAAUGGGGGAAACCCUGAUCUAGCCAUGCCGCGUGAGCGAUGAAGGCCUUAGGGUUGUAAAGCUCUUUCACCGGGGAAGAUAAUGACGGUACCCGGAGAAGAAGCCCCGGCUAACUCCGUG
Molecule: ribosomal RNA, 433 nt
Filed under: uncultured bacterium
Lineage: Bacteria
Description: partial 16S ribosomal RNA
Rfam family: Bacterial small subunit ribosomal RNA
Source: RNAcentral